Triticum aestivum (bread wheat) is the source of this 1670-nucleotide long non-coding RNA. RefSeq lists it as uncharacterized. The transcript is spliced from 3 exons. The record is from RefSeq and is a predicted model, not a curated record. NCBI's taxonomy places the organism in Eukaryota, Viridiplantae, Streptophyta, Magnoliopsida, Poales, Poaceae.
UCUUCUCAUGUCAUAAUACGCUUUUACGAUUUGAAUGGACAAAAUCGUAAUAUAAACGAGGUGGUACUAAUAGCAUGUUCGUCCGUCCGUUCGACCUGAUUCGAUCUAACCCUCCUGUAAUUUUAGGUAAUUAACCCGCAAAGUUUGUGUUUCGUUCCAGAUUGGGCCUUUUUUAAUGGGCCUGCAGAAAAACAAUACGUGUAGGACACAGGAGCACGGGCUCCUCAAUGCGUACGGUAGCGCCGCCGCCGCCGCGCGCCCGUUCCUCUUUGGCGGCGCCGCCGCCCUGCUCUCGUUCCCCUCCCUAUCCAUCUCAAUCUUCUCCCGCACCACCACGAUCUUCAACCUCCUGCUGCCGUAUGUCUCCGAUUUGGAUCGGAGUCCGUGUUCCCCCAGGAUAAGUGCUGCAACACGAAUCCAUGGCGUGCCCGACCCAGAUUUCAGAGGGACUUGGCUGCCAUUAGAAGGAGCCCUCGACCGGAAUCUCCAUUAAAUCGCUUCAUAUCGCAACUUUUGAAGAGUCGUCCAGGAUCGUCUCAGCCGAGUUCGCCGGAAGAAAAUCCGCCGCCCAAGCGUACUACAUCUGAGCCGGAAGAACAUCCCCUGCCGAACAUGCUACCCCAGAGAUCACAUCUUCCUUUGCUAGAACACGUGAGCUGAUUCCGACUUUGGCCUCAAGUUGCUCCCGUCAAUGACAAGUGGGAGGAGUGGGAGUGCUGUGUUCAUGAAAUUGAGUAUCUCAGAAGAAUUUGGUUUGGCACUUAUUUUCCUCAACCUGUUAUUCUUCAAAUGUGCUUCCCAUGGAUUUGAUAAAUUUGGUGAGAUAAUGUUAUGUGUCAGGUAUGGCCAUAAGAUACUCAUGAAACUUAUUUUAUUUUGCCUCACACAAGAUGUAUGUUGUUUAGACUCAUGUACUGCCAGUACUGGUAGAUCGAUGAUCUAAGGAUCAUAUGAAUGAUUAAUGGAGGAUAAUUCAUAUUCAGUUCUCCUCUCAAUUUUUGUGGUGCCAAGCUUGAUCUUUAUCCAUCUAACUGACUGAAAGUGCCUUCUAAUCACUAUUGAACGCAUAUGUUAGUUAGUUUGGCUGUAUACACCACACAAAAAGUAAAAAAUGAAUUCUAGAAAAAAUUAGACACAAAUACUACAGAACCAGUGGACCCUCGAGAAACAAAAGGCACACCUAAAGGAUUUUUUUCUUAACAAAAUGUAUUAAUUUGACUAUUUGAGUAUAAAAAAUGUGCAAUCGCAAUCUUGCUUUUUCAAGGAAAACAGGGGACUGCUACAUACUCGAUAUGGAUCGAGGCUAAUUAUUGAUCUUCCAAGUUAAAAAAUCUGAAAAUAACUUUCAUUUAGUAAUGGAUACAUAGUCAAGAAAGGAUGCCUUUCCCGAAAGAUACAAAACAAAAUCGUGUUCGUGUAUGUCCGGCUGACAGAUGAAUCGAUCUCCUUUCAAGUAUCAACCCAGCAACCUUCGUGUACAUACAUGUGUGCAUCAAGGAUGCACGGGUCCAUUGGCCUGCGUACCACACAUCCCUUCACUAAUUCCAUCAGUAUCAUUCUUAACAAGGUAAGUAUGAUUCCCUAAUCCCUGAUUUUAUUAAUUGAUCUUUGAUGCUUCAUCCCUAAUGUCGUUAUACCUUAUUGAUUCUAUAAAAGAUCUCAAACAGGAA